Molecule: ribosomal RNA, 464 nt
Filed under: uncultured bacterium
Lineage: Bacteria
Description: partial 16S ribosomal RNA
Rfam family: Bacterial small subunit ribosomal RNA
Source: RNAcentral
GACGAACGCUGGCGGCGUGCUUAACACAUGCAAGUCGAACGGAAAGGCCCUGCUUGCAGGGUACUCGAGUGUCGAACGGGUGAGUAACACGUUGGUGAUCUGCCCUGCACUUCGUGUUAAGCCUGGGAAACUGGGUCUCAUACCUGAUAGGAGCCCUUUUUAGUGUGAUGGUUGUAUAGUUUUUUCGGUUUAGGAUGAGCUCGCGGCCUAUCUGCUUGUUGGUGGGGUAAUGGCCUACCAAGGCGGCGACGGGUAGCCGGCCUGAGAGGGUGGAAGGCCACAUUGGGACUGAGAUACGGCCCAGACUCCUACGGGAGGCAGCAGUGGGGAAUAUUGCACAAUGGGCGCAAGCCUGAUGCAGCGACGCCGCGUGGGGGAUGACGGCCUUCGGGUUGUAAACUCCUUUCGCUAGGGACGAAGCUUUUGUGACGGUACCUAGAUAAGAAGCACCGGCUAACUACGUG